RNAcentral lists this ribosomal RNA (254 nucleotides) under uncultured bacterium. RNAcentral describes it as "partial 16S ribosomal RNA". It matches the Rfam family "Bacterial small subunit ribosomal RNA", at positions 524 to 776 of the family's 1533-position model. The record is from RNAcentral.
UACAGAGGGUGCAAACGUUGCUCGGAAUUACUGGGCGUAAAGGGCGUGUAGGCGGCUUAUUAAGUCGUGUGUGAAAGCCCUGGGCUUAACCCAGGAGGUGCACAGGAAACUGAUAGGCUUGGAGUGCGGGAGAAGAGGGCGGAAUUCCCGGUGUAGAGGUGAAAUUCGUAGAGAUCGGGAGGAACACCAGAAGCGAAAGCGGCUCUCUAGACCGACACUGACGCUGAAACGCGAAAGCGUGGGGAGCAAACAGG